RNAcentral lists this ribosomal RNA (555 nucleotides) under uncultured Bacteroidota bacterium. RNAcentral's name for it is "bacterial SSU rRNA". It matches the Rfam family "Bacterial small subunit ribosomal RNA", at positions 97 to 628 of the family's 1533-position model. The record is from RNAcentral. Lineage: Bacteria; Pseudomonadati; Bacteroidota.
GGCGAACGGGCGAGUAACGCGUGGGUAACCUGCCCAGAAGUAGGGGAUAGCCCCGGGAAACCGGGGGUAAUACCGCAUGUGCUCCAGUCGACGCGAGUCGACUGUUGGAAAGGCGGGGAUCUUUCGGGACCCGUCGCUUCUGGAUGGGCCCGCGUCCGAUUAGCUAGUUGGUGGGGUAACGGCCUACCAAGGCAACGAUCGGUAGCCGGCCUGAGAGGGUGAACGGCCACAUUGGGACUGAGACACGGCCCAGACUCCUACGGGAGGCAGCAGUGGGGAAUUUUGGGCAAUGGGCGCAAGCCUGACCCAGCGACGCCGCGUGGAGGAUGAAGGCCUUCGGGUUGUAAACUCCUGUCAGGUGGGAAGAAAUCACCGCCGGUUAAUACCCGGCGGCGUUGACGGUACCACCAAAGGAAGCCCCGGCUAACUCCGUGCCAGCAGCCGCGGUAAUACGGAGGGGGCAAGCGUUAUUCGGAUUUACUGGGCGUAAAGCGCACGUAGGCGGCAAUGCAAGUCGUAGGUGAAAGCCCUCGGCUCAACCGAGGAACUGCCUUC